UCCAGACUCCUACGGGAGGCAGCAGUGAGGAAUAUUGGUCAAUGGGCGAGAGCCUGAACCAGCCAAGUCGCGUGAGGGAAGACGGUCCUAUGGAUUGUAAACCUCUUUUGCCGGGGAGCAAAAAGCGGUACGUGUACCGCAUCGAGAGUACCCGGAGAAAAAGCAUCGGCUAACUCCGUGCCAGCAGCCGCGGUAAUACGGAGGAUGCGAGCGUUAUCCGGAUUUAUUGGGUUUAAAGGGUGCGCAGGCGGGGAUUUAAGACAGGGGAAAAUUUGGGGGGCCAAACCCCGGCGAGCCGUUGAAACUGGCUUGCUAGAGUGGGCGAGAAGUAUGCGGAAUGCGUGGUGUAGCGGUGAAAUGCAUAGAUAUCACGCAGAACUCCGAUUGCGAAGGCAGCAUACCGGCGCCCAACUGUCGCUGAAGCACGAAAGCGUGGGUAUCGAACAGGAUUAGAUACCCUAGUAUG
RNAcentral lists this ribosomal RNA (466 nucleotides) under uncultured bacterium. Its description in RNAcentral is "bacterial SSU rRNA". It matches the Rfam family "Bacterial small subunit ribosomal RNA", at positions 330 to 794 of the family's 1533-position model. The record is from RNAcentral.